This 236-nucleotide long non-coding RNA is filed under the name Ananas comosus (pineapple). RNAcentral's name for it is "long non-coding RNA (ACOM_LNC016385)". The record is from RNAcentral. Lineage: Eukaryota; Viridiplantae; Streptophyta; Magnoliopsida; Poales; Bromeliaceae.
ACAGCAGCCGCAGAAAAAAGCUCUACAAUAAGGGGUCAACAACUAGGUGUGAGAACUACUGCAAAAAGAAGUAGUCCUCAGUGGGUACGCUACCGACCUCAACAGCUCACCCACUAAGUCUACAGAAAAUAUGCACAAGGACAGUAAAGGAUGCUGGUAAAACUCUACAGCUAUAUGUCACUAUACUAUCGCUAACCACUAUCUGUAGAUAAAGAAAAGCACUCUCUGACCUAAUC